AUGGAUCACGGCGGAGGUGGUCGUGGGAUGGCAGGGGACGAGGCGGCGGCGGCUUCCACCAACCAGAAGACCGAAAGCUUCGGAGGCUGCUCCAACAGCGUGAAGAAAAUUUACCCCAUUGACAGUCCAAUUAAGAAAAGAAAGUCACAGUAUGACCUCAGUGACACAAGGCUGUCAUCGCUGAAAUACAAGUUUCAGGACCGACCAACUUCACAGGAGGAUGAGACUGCAAGAACAGAAAGCUUAGGAGGUGAUGACAUUUUCGUCAACAAGAACUGUAAUGUGGACAUGGUCAAUGCUUACAAGGGGUUGGACUCGUGUGAGAAUACUCAAAGCCUUUUAGGUGGUUGCAUCGAAGUCGACUCCAUAAAUGGAAUCGAGAGCCAGUCUAUGAGAAAACGGGCAUCUGCAUCCAGCAGCUCAAGCAACAACAUUUCAUCGGACACUUACAGUUCUUUUCAUAGCUAUGGCACCAAAGAGACUGACAGCUGGGUGAGGCCACACCUGGAGCAUGAUGGCUCAGGUUUGCUGCUGCAAGCAUACGAUGAUGACAUUGAGAAAAUCUGCGCUGUGAUGAAUGAGCUAGCAGGUGGUGGUGUCGAUGGUUCUGCUGAUCGUAUCAUGGAUGAGACGCUUUACUCGAAUGGCGUCGAUGAUUUCAUGAUUCUGCCAGCAGGCAAGAAUGGGGAGAAGAAGAAGCAGCUAACCAUCGACCAAGAAUUCGAGCAGUACUUCUCAAAACUCAUGCUUUAG
RNAcentral lists this ribosomal RNA (753 nucleotides) under Triticum aestivum (bread wheat). RNAcentral's name for it is "partial small subunit ribosomal RNA". The record is from RNAcentral. Lineage: Eukaryota; Viridiplantae; Streptophyta; Magnoliopsida; Poales; Poaceae.